This is a long non-coding RNA of Zalophus californianus (California sea lion), 275 nucleotides long. RefSeq lists it as uncharacterized. The transcript is spliced from 3 exons. The record is from RefSeq and is a predicted model, not a curated record. NCBI's taxonomy places the organism in Eukaryota, Metazoa, Chordata, Mammalia, Carnivora, Otariidae.
UCCAAAGUGAUGCAGAGGAGAAAUAUGGGGCUAGUUUGACUCUUGCUCAUUUCUCUGAACGGCCAGUCCCAGCUGAGAUGGGGCAAUGAUCCGGGACUUGCUCCUUCUUCUGAGACCCCGUAGCACAGGGGCGAGGCAGCUGAUUCCAAGGCUUCCAGAAUCUCUCACACAUAGCAAGUACCCCUGGUGUCCGUUUUUCUCACCUCUGAAUAUGAUGGACGAAGGAUUUCAAAGGUUCCUUGUAACCACACAAUUCUGCUUUUCUCUCCAGCAAU